This 433-nucleotide ribosomal RNA is filed under the name uncultured bacterium. RNAcentral describes it as "partial 16S ribosomal RNA". It matches the Rfam family "Bacterial small subunit ribosomal RNA", at positions 29 to 507 of the family's 1533-position model. The record is from RNAcentral.
AACGAACGCUGGCGGCAUGCCUAACACAUGCAAGUCGAACGAGACCUUCGGGUCUAGCGGCGCACGGGUGCGUAACGCGUGGGAACCUGCCCUUAGGUUCGGAAUAACUCCCCGAAAGGGGUGCUAAUACCGGAUAAUGUCUUCGGACCAAAGAUUUAUCGCCUUUGGAUGGGCCCGCGUUGGAUUAGCUAGUUGGUAGGGUAAAAGCCUACCAAGGCGACGAUCCAUAGCUGGUCUGAGAGGAUGAUCAGCCACACUGGGACUGAGACACGGCCCAGACUCCUACGGGAGGCAGCAGUGGGGAAUAUUGGACAAUGGGCGAUAGCCUGAUCCAGCAAUGCCGCGUGAGUGAUGAAGGCCGUAGGGUUGUAAAGCUCUUUUACCCGGGAUGAUAAUGACAGUACCGGGAGAAUAAGCUCCGGCUAACUCCGUG